UGAGUGAUCGGUGAAUUAUUGAUCAAUUACCAUUAAUUAUGGAUAAAUUAUCGAUUAAUUAUUGAUAGCGGACGAGUCCCGGCUGCUAAUGAGGUGUAAUUGAGCCCCAGCAGUGUCCGGGGGCAGCGGGCUGUGACCGCCCGGUGAGGGGUGUCACCGUGUCCCCGAGUGUGUCACCGUGUGUGUCACCGUGUGUGUCACCGUGUGUGUCACCAUGGUGUUACCAUGUGUGUCACCGUGUCUCUGUGUGUGUCCCUGUGUCCCUGUCCCUGUGCCCGUGUCCCUGAGUGUGUCACCGUGUGUGUCACCAUGUGUGUCACCAUGUGUGUUACCAUGUGUGUCACCGUGUCCCCGAGUGUGUCACUGUGUGUGUCACUAUGUGUGUUACCAUGUGUGUCACCGUGUCACCGUGUGUGUCACCAUGUGUGUUACCAUGUGUGUCACCGUGUCACCGUGUGUGUCACCGUGUGUGUCACCAUGUGUGUUACCAUGUGUGUCACCGUGUCCCCGAGUGUGUCACCGUGUGUGUCCCUAUGUCCCUGUCCCUGUGUCCCCGUGUGCAUCCCUGUGUGUGUCACCGUGUCUCUGUGUGUGUCCCUGUGUCCCUGUCCCUGUGCCCGUGUCCCCGAGUGUGUCACCGUGUCCCUGUGUCCCUGUCCCCUGUCCCCACGUGUCCCCAUGUCCCUGUCCCCUUGCGUGUCCCUACAUGUGUCCCCGUGUCCCUGUCCCCUGUCCCUGUGUCUCUGUCCCCGUGUUUGUCCCCAUGUGUGUCACCGUGUCCCUGUGCCCUGUCCUUGUGCGUGCCACCGUGUCCCCUGUCACCUGUCCGUGUGUGUGUCCCCCCAUGUGUGUCACUGUGUGUGUCCCCCUGUCCGUGUGUCCCCCUAUCCUCAUGUCCCCAUGUCCUUCUUGUCCUUGUGUCCCGGUGUCCCCACGUCUGUCCGACAUCCCCAUGAGUGUCCCCCUGUCCCCGAGUGUGCAGCAGGGACAGCCCUGGCCACCCCCUGCACCUCCCGAUGUCCCCAGUGUCCCCUGGGUGUCCCUUGGGUGUC
This 1052-nucleotide long non-coding RNA is filed under the name Lonchura striata (white-rumped munia). RNAcentral's name for it is "domestica (Bengalese finch) lncRNA (ENSLSDG00000003680.1)". The record is from RNAcentral. Lineage: Eukaryota; Metazoa; Chordata; Aves; Passeriformes; Estrildidae.